GGACAGAUGGCCGAGCGGUUAAGGCGGUAGACUCAAGUUUCUUGCAAACUUCUGUGCAGCGCGCACGGGUCCUUCUACUGGAGCAAUCCGCGUGGGUUCGAAUCCCACUCUGUUCA
Molecule: transfer RNA, 116 nt
Organism: Rhodotorula sp. JG-1b
Lineage: Eukaryota; Fungi; Basidiomycota; Microbotryomycetes; Sporidiobolales; Sporidiobolaceae
Rfam family: tRNA
About the family: Transfer RNA (tRNA) molecules are approximately 80 nucleotides in length. Their secondary structure includes four short double-helical elements and three loops (D, anti-codon, and T loops). Further hydrogen bonds mediate the characteristic L-shaped molecular structure. tRNAs have two regions of fundamental functional importance: the anti-codon, which is responsible for specific mRNA codon recognition, and the 3' end, to which the tRNAs corresponding amino acid is attached (by aminoacyl-tRNA synthetases). tRNAs cope with the degeneracy of the genetic code in two manners: having more than one tRNA (with a specific anti-codon) for a particular amino acid; and 'wobble' base-pairing, i.e. permitting non-standard base-pairing at the 3rd anti-codon position.
Source: Rfam